UACAGAGGUCCCAAGCGUUGUUCGGAUUCACUGGGCGUAAAGGGUGCGUAGGUGGUGGGGUAAGUCUCGUGUGAAAGCUCGCAGCUUAACUGCGAAAAGUCACGGGAUACUAUUCCGCUGGAGGCUUGGAGGGGGGACUGGAAUACUUGGUGUAGCAGUGAAAUGCGUAGAUAUCAAGUGGAACACCGGUGGCGAAGGCGGCUGCCUGGACCGAUAUUGACGCUGAGACGCGAAAGCGUGGGUAGCAAACAGG
Molecule: ribosomal RNA, 253 nt
Filed under: uncultured bacterium
Lineage: Bacteria
Description: partial 16S ribosomal RNA
Rfam family: Bacterial small subunit ribosomal RNA
Source: RNAcentral